UGAACAUUGAAUUUUACAUUCCCCUCGCAUUAGGCUUCUACUCCAGGCCGGAUCCUGGAGUUACAAAAAGAAUAAGGGUCAUCUAGAUUCUCUUUCCCAAAAAUGUGCCCGAAUUCUUCCUACCUGUUCUGCUUGAUGCUGUCUGGAAGGCUGUGGAGGCGAAGGACUUGAGAACCCUGAACACUCUCACCCGGCGGCGAUCGAGCUUGGUACAAGGAAGGCUGGCGUGAUCAUCCACUUCACAUCAGAGGAUGUCUAACCACCAGUGUGCUGACACCAAGCAGAAAUUUCCACGUUUAAAGCAGCACUCCCUGUACUCAUCAUAUGUCCCUGGAGAAGAUUGCUUCAUCAUUCUUCAGACCAAAAAAAUAAAAAAAUAAAAAAAUUGAUCCCCUUCAAUAUCCUCCAGUCUCAGAAUGACUAGAUAAAACUUUAUGUGCAUUCAGAUGUCUUCCAUGUCUGAAUUUCUGGUCAUCUUCAUAUCUUCUAUGUCCAUAAAUAAAGAUAAAAUAGUAAUAAACAAAUAAAUCUGCUGUUUUGGUCUCAGCAGAUCAAUUGAGGCUUGGCUUAAUCAGUCCAAGCCUGGAAAACUUCAAUGGACAAAUUCACCUGAUCGGUGUUUGCUGCCUCUUGACAAUACAGGUUUUGUGUGUGGUUCAAUACUUCUCUUGGUAUUUGUCUAGUUGGAAAAGAGAACAAAGGUACUGCAGUUCUGGGCUUUGUGCUUGUAGGACACACACCUGAAAACAUAGCUCCUUCACUCAUGGGGGGCACAGGGCACAGCACCAUUUCCUUAUGCUGCAUGCAAGCUUAUAUAUUUUCUGGGCCUCUCUUCUUUCCAGACAGCAGUUCUUGCUUGGGAUAGGACUUGUACAAUUAUGAAAUAACUCUUCUCAUAGAAGGGAUUUGUAGAGCUUUAUUCUAGUUAUCAAGAUGUAUGUGAUUAAAUGAUUGACUAGGGCUGGGGAUGUAAGGCAGUGCCAGACUGUGUCCCUAAAGUGAGUAUGGUCCUAGGUUCAGUCCUUGGUACCUAUGAUUAAUCCAAGGGCCUAUCCUAAGUGGGAGGAAACAGCUGCUAUUAGUUAUGCUUAUUUCUCACAAAUAUGUGAGAUAUUUUAGUGUGCUUUAUAUUACCCUGAAAUUAAUUUUAAAAUUUGAGACUUUCUAUAUAUUUCUGGCUGGCCUAGAACUCACUAAAUAGUCACAGAGCUAUAUCAGUCUCUGCCUACCCAGUGCUGGAAUUAAAGGCAUGUAGCAUCACACUUGGUGAUUUUUGUCAGUUCUUAUGGCUUUAUACAGAGAGGUAUCAGCAAGAAAUAUAAAUAAAAACCCACAAGAUGAGACUUUUUUAUUGCUGAAAUUCAAUAUCAACACAAAAUAGAUCAGCACAAACAUGUGCAAAGCUGUCUUUGGAGAACAGGUUAAUUUUUCAGCUACAAGAUUUGAAUUAAGUUAAUUGGAGGCAUUAGCAUACCCACCAAGGAAAUAGUAGCCACAGAAGUAGAUAAAUGAAAAGCAGAAGACAGAUAAAAUAAGUUAUCUGAGCAUGGCUCCAAGAUGAAGGAGGGUCUUCAUUUUGUUAGACUCCAUUCCCAAUGACAAUCCUAGUUCGACUGUGAAUCAAUAUUGGGUGAUUUAAAUUUGCUGUUAAUAACUGUUCAAAUCACAAAUGAUAAAUACAUUCAGAACCCAUGUUUUCCAAGCGAUAUUCUUGAUUACAUGGCUUUCAAUGUAGUUCCACUCAGAAAAUACACUAACCACAGAAAUUAAUAUAGUAACAGCUACUACUGAGUGAGUCGUGUUCCACGCUUUCAGUGAAGUUUGUUCAUUGAAGUUGUUUGUCAUAAACAAACGUUUUCAUUUCUAAGUCAAAAUAUUUCUUGACUAUAGUAAAAUAACUUACUUCUUUA
Non-coding RNA from Peromyscus maniculatus bairdii (prairie deer mouse), 1910 nucleotides. Lineage: Eukaryota; Metazoa; Chordata; Mammalia; Rodentia; Cricetidae. The record is from RefSeq and is a predicted model, not a curated record.